Non-coding RNA from Triticum urartu, 135 nucleotides. The record is from Rfam. Lineage: Eukaryota; Viridiplantae; Streptophyta; Magnoliopsida; Poales; Poaceae.
UACAUACUCCUUUCGUCCGAAAAUACUUGUCAUCAAAAUGAACAAAAAAUGAUGUAUCUAAAAUUAAAAUACGUCUAGAUACAUUCACUUUUAUCCAUUUUGAUGACAAGUAUUUCCGAAGAGAGGAAGUACGUG